This 1925-nucleotide ribosomal RNA is filed under the name Escherichia coli. RNAcentral's name for it is "partial 23S ribosomal RNA". It matches the Rfam family "Bacterial large subunit ribosomal RNA", at positions 997 to 2901 of the family's 2925-position model. Lineage: Bacteria; Pseudomonadati; Pseudomonadota; Gammaproteobacteria; Enterobacterales; Enterobacteriaceae. The record is from RNAcentral.
GCUAACGUCCGUCGUGAAGAGGGAAACAACCCAGACCGCCAGCUAAGGUCCCAAAGUCAUGGUUAAGUGGGAAACGAUGUGGGAAGGCCCAGACAGCCAGGAUGUUGGCUUAGAAGCAGCCAUCAUUUAAAGAAAGCGUAAUAGCUCACUGGUCGAGUCGGCCUGCGCGGAAGAUGUAACGGGGCUAAACCAUGCACCGAAGCUGCGGCAGCGACGCUUAUGCGUUGUUGGGUAGGGGAGCGUUCUGUAAGCCUGUGAAGGUGUGCUGUGAGGCAUGCUGGAGGUAUCAGAAGUGCGAAUGCUGACAUAAGUAACGAUAAAGCGGGUGAAAAGCCCGCUCGCCGGAAGACCAAGGGUUCCUGUCCAACGUUAAUCGGGGCAGGGUGAGUCGACCCCUAAGGCGAGGCCGAAAGGCGUAGUCGAUGGGAAACAGGUUAAUAUUCCUGUACUUGGUGUUACUGCGAAGGGGGGACGGAGAAGGCUAUGUUGGCCGGGCGACGGUUGUCCCGGUUUAAGCGUGUAGGCUGGUUUUCCAGGCAAAUCCGGAAAAUCAAGGCUGAGGCGUGAUGACGAGGCACUACGGUGCUGAAGCAACAAAUGCCCUGCUUCCAGGAAAAGCCUCUAAGCAUCAGGUAACAUCAAAUCGUACCCCAAACCGACACAGGUGGUCAGGUAGAGAAUACCAAGGCGCUUGAGAGAACUCGGGUGAAGGAACUAGGCAAAAUGGUGCCGUAACUUCGGGAGAAGGCACGCUGAUAUGUAGGUGAAGUCCCUCGCGGAUGGAGCUGAAAUCAGUCGAAGAUACCAGCUGGCUGCAACUGUUUAUUAAAAACACAGCACUGUGCAAACACGAAAGUGGACGUAUACGGUGUGACGCCUGCCCGGUGCCGGAAGGUUAAUUGAUGGGGUCAGCGCAAGCGAAGCUCUUGAUCGAAGCCCCGGUAAACGGCGGCCGUAACUAUAACGGUCCUAAGGUAGCGAAAUUCCUUGUCGGGUAAGUUCCGACCUGCACGAAUGGCGUAAUGAUGGCCAGGCUGUCUCCACCCGAGACUCAGUGAAAUUGAACUCGCUGUGAAGAUGCAGUGUACCCGCGGCAAGACGGAAAGACCCCGUGAACCUUUACUAUAGCUUGACACUGAACAUUGAGCCUUGAUGUGUAGGAUAGGUGGGAGGCUUAGAAGUGUGGACGCCAGUCUGCAUGGAGCCGACCUUGAAAUACCACCCUUUAAUGUUUGAUGUUCUAACGUUGACCCGUAAUCCGGGUUGCGGACAGUGUCUGGUGGGUAGUUUGACUGGGGCGGUCUCCUCCUAAAGAGUAACGGAGGAGCACGAAGGUUGGCUAAUCCUGGUCGGACAUCAGGAGGUUAGUGCAAUGGCAUAAGCCAGCUUGACUGCGAGCGUGACGGCGCGAGCAGGUGCGAAAGCAGGUCAUAGUGAUCCGGUGGUUCUGAAUGGAAGGGCCAUCGCUCAACGGAUAAAAGGUACUCCGGGGAUAACAGGCUGAUACCGCCCAAGAGUUCAUAUCGACGGCGGUGUUUGGCACCUCGAUGUCGGCUCAUCACAUCCUGGGGCUGAAGUAGGUCCCAAGGGUAUGGCUGUUCGCCAUUUAAAGUGGUACGCGAGCUGGGUUUAGAACGUCGUGAGACAGUUCGGUCCCUAUCUGCCGUGGGCGCUGGAGAACUGAGGGGGGCUGCUCCUAGUACGAGAGGACCGGAGUGGACGCAUCACUGGUGUUCGGGUUGUCAUGCCAAUGGCACUGCCCGGUAGCUAAAUGCGGAAGAGAUAAGUGCUGAAAGCAUCUAAGCACGAAACUUGCCCCGAGAUGAGUUCUCCCUGACCCUUUAAGGGUCCUGAAGGAACGUUGAAGACGACGACGUUGAUAGGCCGGGUGUGUAAGCGCAGCGAUGCGUUGAGCUAACCGGUAC